This is a non-coding RNA of Acanthosepion pharaonis, 107 nucleotides long. The record is from the annotation of a GenBank genome assembly. Lineage: Eukaryota; Metazoa; Mollusca; Cephalopoda; Sepiida; Sepiidae.
UACAGCCAUAUUACGUUGAAACGUUGGUUCUCGUCCGAUCACCGAAGUUAAGCAAUAUCGAGCCUGGUCAGUACCUAGAUGAGUGACCGUUUGGUAAUACCAGGUAC